AGCGAACGCUGGCGGCGUGCCUAACACAUGCAAGUCGAACGUGAAAAGGGGCAACCCUGAGUAAAGUGGCGUACGGGUGAGUAACACGUGGGUAAUCUACCUUAAAGCCUGGAAUAACCUGCCGAAAGGCGGGCUAAUACUGGAUAGAGCGAGAAGUUUUUAAUGAACUUUUCGGGAAAGGAAGCUCGCAAGAGCCUUCACUUUAAGAUGAGCCCGCGUCUCAUUAGCUAGUUGGUAGGGUAAUGGCCUACCAAGGCAUUGAUGAGUAGCUGGUCUAAGAGGACGAUCAGCCACACUGGAACUGAAACACGGUCCAGACUCCUACGGGAGGCAGCAGUGGGAAUAUUGCGCAAUGGACGAAAGUCUGACGCAGCAACGCCGCGUGAGUGAAGAAGGCCUUCGGGUUGUAAAGCUCUGUCUAGUGGGACGAAAACCUACGAGUUAAUAGCUCGUAGCUUGACGGUACUACUGAAGAAAGCACCAACUAACUCUGUGCCAGCCGCCGCCGUAA
Molecule: ribosomal RNA, 511 nt
Filed under: uncultured bacterium
Lineage: Bacteria
Description: partial 16S ribosomal RNA
Rfam family: Bacterial small subunit ribosomal RNA
Source: RNAcentral